AUUGAACGCUGGCGGCAGGCCUAACACAUGCAAGUCGAACGGUAACAGGAAGAAGCUUUCUUCUUCGCUGACGAGUGGCGGACGGGUGAGAAAUGUCUGGGAAACUGUCUGAUGUAGGGGGACAUCUACUGGAAACGGUAGCUAAUAUCGCAUAACGUCCCCAGACUAAAAAGGGGGAACUUCGUGCCUCUUGCCAUCGGAUAUGCCCAGAUGGGAUUAGCUAGUAGGUGGGGUAACGGCUCACCUUGGCGACGAUCCCUAGCUGGUCUGAGAGGAUGACCAGCCACACUGGAACUGGGACGCGGUCCAGACGCCUAAGAGAGGCAGCAGUGGGGAAUAUUGGACAAUGGGCGCAAACCUGAUGCAGCCAUACCGCGUGUGUGAAAAAGGCCUUCGGGUUGUAAAGUACUUUAAGCGGGAGGGAAGUGAGUAAAGUUAAUACCUUGGGUCAUUGACGUUACCCGAAGAAGAAGCACCGGCUAACUCCGUG
Molecule: ribosomal RNA, 490 nt
Filed under: uncultured bacterium
Lineage: Bacteria
Description: partial 16S ribosomal RNA
Rfam family: Bacterial small subunit ribosomal RNA
Source: RNAcentral